RNAcentral lists this ribosomal RNA (877 nucleotides) under Pseudogymnoascus sp. Its description in RNAcentral is "partial large subunit ribosomal RNA". It matches the Rfam family "Eukaryotic large subunit ribosomal RNA", at positions 52 to 951 of the family's 3401-position model. The record is from RNAcentral. Lineage: Eukaryota; Fungi; Ascomycota; Leotiomycetes; Thelebolales; Thelebolaceae.
AGAGGAAAAGAAACCAACAGGGAUUACCUCAGUAACGGCGAGUGAAGCGGUAACAGCUCAAAUUUGAAAUCUGGCCUCACGGUCCGAGUUGUAAUUUGUAGAGGAUGCUUCGAGCAUGGUCUGGCCUAAGUUCCUUGGAACAGGACGUCAUAGAGGGUGAGAAUCCCGUAUGCGGCCAGGUGCCUACGCUCAUGUGAAGCUCCUUCGACGAGUCGAGUUGUUUGGGAAUGCAGCUCAAAAUGGGUGGUAAAUUUCAUCUAAAGCUAAAUAUUGGCCAGAGACCGAUAGCGCACAAGUAGAGUGAUCGAAAGAUGAAAAGCACUUUGGAAAGAGAGUUAAACAGUACGUGAAAUUGUUGAAAGGGAAGCGCUUGCAACCAGACUUGCGCGCGGCCGAUCAUCCGGUGUUCUCACCGGUGCACUCGGCCGUGCUCAGGCCAGCAUCGGUUUUGGCGGCUGGAUAAAGGCCCUAGGAAUGUAGCUCCUCUCGGGGAGUGUUAUAGCCUAGGGUGCAAUGCAGCCUGCUGGGACCGAGGACCGCGCUUCGGCUAGGAUGCUGGCGUAAUGGUUGUAAGCGGCCCGUCUUGAAACACGGACCAAGGAGUCUAACAUCUAUGCGAGUGUUUGGGUGUCAAACCCAUACGCGUAAUGAAAGUGAACGGAGGUGAGAACCCUUAAGGGUGCAUCAUCGACCGGUCCUGAAGUUUACGGAAGGAUCUGAGUAAGAGCAUAGCUGUUGGGACCCGAAAGAUGGUGAACUAUGCCUGAAUAGGGUGAAGCCAGAGGAAACUCUGGUGGAGGCUCGCAGCGGUUCUGACGUGCAAAUCGAUCGUCAAAUUUGGGUAUAGGGGCGAAAGACUAAUCGAACCAUCAAGCGC